This 74-nucleotide transfer RNA is filed under the name Planctomycetota bacterium. RNAcentral describes it as "Planctomycetes bacterium (gut metagenome) tRNA-Gly". It matches the Rfam family "tRNA". Rfam says of the family: Transfer RNA (tRNA) molecules are approximately 80 nucleotides in length. Their secondary structure includes four short double-helical elements and three loops (D, anti-codon, and T loops). Further hydrogen bonds mediate the characteristic L-shaped molecular structure. tRNAs have two regions of fundamental functional importance: the anti-codon, which is responsible for specific mRNA codon recognition, and the 3' end, to which the tRNAs corresponding amino acid is attached (by aminoacyl-tRNA synthetases). tRNAs cope with the degeneracy of the genetic code in two manners: having more than one tRNA (with a specific anti-codon) for a particular amino acid; and 'wobble' base-pairing, i.e. permitting non-standard base-pairing at the 3rd anti-codon position. Lineage: Bacteria; Pseudomonadati; Planctomycetota. The record is from RNAcentral.
GCGGGCGUAGCUCAGUGGUAGAGCACCAUCCUUCCAAGUUGGCUAUGAGGGUUCGAUUCCCUUCGCCCGCUCCA